GAAGUCUCCCUCCUUCAUUGUGUCUUGAGACCUUGAGAAGAAGAGAGAUGAAGCUCAGUUCUCUGCUUCUGUUGAUUGCCCUCAGCUGCUGCUCUGCCAAAGAUCGUUAUAGAGAAAAGUGAUAAUCUCUGCAAAGAUGAAUAGAUAAACUCACGCAUCAAGACCUUCCACUUCCUACCACACAAUGUGACAAUUGUCAAGGUGAUCACCAUGACAUCCCGCCCGCUUCCAUGAUGAUGGACGCCGCCCAGUCACCUGACCAAUCUAACGCCAGCCCCGCCCCCCGGGUGUCGGAGCCGUUACAGGAACAGUCGGACACGCUGUGGAGGAAGGAGGUCCUGGACCUGCUCACACAGCUGGUCCUGGUCCAGAAGGAGAUGGCCCAGCAUCAGGUUCAGGUGGUGCAGCUGCUCAACAUGCUGGGAACUCAGGGCUCUCAGCAGAUCCUGGAUCUGCAGAACAUGGCUCGUCACCAGAGUCUGCUGGUUGAGAACCAUCAAGCUUUACUUCUGCAGACGUCUCGCAUCUCCACACAGCUGCAGGAGAUCAACAGGAAACCUGCCUCCUGCCAAUGAGAUCCUCUGGUUAUUUACUUGCAAGCAAUGGGAUCUUCUGGUGCUCAACUGGCAGGCAAUGGGAUUGUCUAAUUCUUCACAGAUCCUAUGCACUCUAAUCAUUACUAAUGAUUAACAGUGUGAUGAUAGAUAUAAACUUUAACCAAACAUUUAUUAAAAAAAAUUACAACAUUUUAGAAUCAAAUAAUUGAUUUCUAUGUUUCAUUAAAUAACCUUAAAAGUGAACUGCUGCUUUCUUUUCACCUGAAGCAAUCAGCUUCUUUUGUUAUAAUGUGUUGUAUGUUCUGAUGUUUCUAUUAAUAAAUUACAUCUUGUUUGAUUA
Molecule: long non-coding RNA, 897 nt
Organism: Gasterosteus aculeatus aculeatus (three-spined stickleback)
Lineage: Eukaryota; Metazoa; Chordata; Actinopteri; Perciformes; Gasterosteidae
Source: Ensembl